This 1365-nucleotide ribosomal RNA is filed under the name uncultured prokaryote. Its description in RNAcentral is "partial 16S ribosomal RNA". It matches the Rfam family "Bacterial small subunit ribosomal RNA". The record is from RNAcentral.
UUUGAUCCUGGCUCAGAACGAACGCUGGCGGCAGGCCUAACACAUGCAAGUCGAACGAACCUUCGGGUGAGUGGCGCACGGGUGCGUAACACGUGGGAAUCUACACAUAGGUAAGGAAUAACACAGAGAAAUUUGUGCUAAUACCUUAUAAUGACUCCGGUCCAAAGAUUUAUCGCCUAAGAAUAAGCCCGCGUUAGAUUAGUUUGUUGGUGAGGUAACGGCUCACCAAGACGACGAUCUAUAGCUGGUCUGAGAGGAUGAUCAGCCACACUGGAACUGAGACACGGUCCAGACUCCUACGGGAGGCAGCAGUGAGGAAUAUUGGACAAUGGGCGAAAGCCUGAUCCAGCCAUGCCGCGUGAGUGAAGAAGGCCUUAGGGUUGUAAAACUCUUUCAGAUGCGAAGAUAAUGACGGUAACAUCAGAAGAAGCUCCGGCUAACUUCGUGCCAGCAGCCGCGGUAAUACGAAUGGGGCGAGCGUUGUUCGGAAUCAUUGGGCGUAAAGCGUAUGUAGGCGGACUAGAAAGUCGAAAGUGAAAGCCCAGGGCUCAACCCUGGAAUUGCUUCCGAAACUUUUAGUCUAGAGUCCCGGAGAGGUUAGGGGAAUUCCGAGUGUAGAGGUGAAAUUCGCAGAUAUUCGGAGGAACACCAGUGGCGUAGGCGCCUAACUGGACGGGAACUGACGCUCAGAUACGAAAGCGUGGGUAGCAAACAGGAUUAGAUACCCUGGUAGUCCACGCCGUAAACGAUGUGUGCUAGUUGUCGGGCCCUUAGGGCUCGGUGACGCCGCUAAAUCAUUAAGCAUACCGCCUGGGGAGUACGGUCGCAAGACUAAAACUCAAAGGAAUUGACGGGGACCCGCACAAGCGGUGGAGCAUGUUGUUUAAUUCGAAGCAACGCGAAGAACCUUACCUACACUUGACAUACUAGUCGGGACUUUCAGAGAUGAUUGUCUUCGGUUCGGCCGGACUAGAUACAGGUGCUGCAUGGCUGUCGUCAGCUCGUGUCGUGAGAUGUUGGGUUAAGUCCCGCAACGAGCGCAACCCUUAUCGUAUGUUACCAUCAUUUAGUUGGGGACUCAUGCGAGACUGCCGGUGAUAAGCCGGAGGAAGGCGGGGACGACGUCAAGUCAUCAUGGCCCUUACGUGUGGGGCUACAAACGUGCUACAAUGGUAACGACAAUGGGCAGCCACUCCGCGAGGAGGCGCUAAUCUCCAAACGUUAUCUCAGUUCGGAUUGUUCUCUGCAACUCGAGAGCAUGAAGUUGGAAUCGCUAGUAAUCGUGCAUCAGCAUGUCACGGUGAAUACGUUCCCGGGUCUUGUACACACCGCCCGUCACCUCAUGGGAGUUGGUUCUACCCGAAG